This is a small nucleolar RNA of Nymphaea colorata (pocket water lily), 101 nucleotides long. NCBI's taxonomy places the organism in Eukaryota, Viridiplantae, Streptophyta, Magnoliopsida, Nymphaeales, Nymphaeaceae. The record is from RefSeq and is a predicted model, not a curated record.
GCGAGGGCGAUGAUGAUCGAAAACUACCUAUUUGUUGAGGGGAUGCGAUUGGUUAAUCAUCUCUAGUGAUAAAGAAACCAAUGGAUCCUACUGAGCCUUCC